This 225-nucleotide ribosomal RNA is filed under the name uncultured bacterium. RNAcentral's name for it is "partial 16S ribosomal RNA". It matches the Rfam family "Bacterial small subunit ribosomal RNA", at positions 943 to 1167 of the family's 1533-position model. The record is from RNAcentral.
GGUUUAAUUCGAUGAUACGCGAGGAACCUUACCCGGGCUUGAAUUGCAGAGGAAGAAUUUGGAGACAAUGACGCCCUUCGGGGUCGUCUGUGAAGGUGCUGCAUGGUUGUCGUCAGCUCGUGCCGUGAGGUGUCGGCUUAAGUGCCAUAACGAGCGCAACCCCUCUCCUUAGUUGCCAUCAGGUCAAGCUGGGCACUCUGGGGACACUGCCACCGUAAGGUGUGA